This is a non-coding RNA of Vicia faba (fava bean), 297 nucleotides long. Lineage: Eukaryota; Viridiplantae; Streptophyta; Magnoliopsida; Fabales; Fabaceae. The record is from the annotation of a GenBank genome assembly.
AUGUUGUUUCCUUUUUUUCAAAAAAAACUUCCUCUCUUACUCGGUUCUCUCUCUAUCAUUUCCUUAAAACAAAACAAAAAUCAAAUAAUGAAACUUAUGAACAGAAGAUCAAUCACGGCGGCAAGAGAACAACAGAGGCGGUCGGAGAUGGACUCACGGUGGUCACCGGCAAGGGCUCGCGGCGGCGCCACCGUGAGUAGCUCGGAACAUAAUUUUUUUUUUACAUUUUUCAGUUCGGUUUGUCACCCUCUUCAAAUCCGGAAACAGUUUUUCAAAAACAAUGAUCGAAAAGUGUAG